RNAcentral lists this microRNA (22 nucleotides) under Ictalurus punctatus (channel catfish). RNAcentral describes it as "ipu-miR-7561". The record is from miRBase by way of RNAcentral. Lineage: Eukaryota; Metazoa; Chordata; Actinopteri; Siluriformes; Ictaluridae.
UGAUUCAGAGUCGAGCUCGCUU